CAGCAGUAGCCGCGGGAAUACCGAGGGUGCGAGCGUUAAUCGGAUUUACUGGGCGUAAAGCGUGCGUAGGCGGCUUCUUAAGUCGGAUGUGAAAUCCCUGAGCUUAACUUAGGAAUUGCAUUCGAUACUGGGAAGCUAGAGUAUGGGAGAGGAUGGUAGAAUUCCAGGUGUAGCGGUGAAAUGCGUAGAGAUCUGGAGGAAUACCGAUGGCGAAGGCAGCCAUCUGGCCUAACACUGACGCUGAGGUACGAAAGCAUGGGGAGCAAACAGGAUUAGAUACCCCGGUAGUCCCUGUCUCUUAUAC
This 304-nucleotide ribosomal RNA is filed under the name uncultured bacterium. RNAcentral's name for it is "partial 16S ribosomal RNA". It matches the Rfam family "Bacterial small subunit ribosomal RNA", at positions 506 to 807 of the family's 1533-position model. The record is from RNAcentral.